AUUGAACGCUGGCGGCAUGCUUUACACAUGCAAGUCGAACGGUAACAGGCCUUCGGGUGCUGACGAGUGGCGAACGGGUGAGUAAUGCAUCGGAACGUGCCCAGAGGUGGGGGAUAACGCAGCGAAAGCUGUGCUAAUACCGCAUGUGAUCUGAGGAUGAAAGCGGGGGACCAGGCAGCAAUGUUUGGCCUCGCGCCUUUGGAGCGGCCGAUGUCAGAUUAGGUAGUUGGUGGGGUAAAGGCCUACCAAGCCGACGAUCUGUAGCUGGUCUGAGAGGACGACCAGCCACACUGGGACUGAGACCCGGCCCAGACUCCUACGGGAGGCAGCAGUGGGGAAUUUUGGACAAUGGGCGCAAGCCUGAUCCAGCAAUGCCGCGUGCGGGAAGAAGGCCUUCGGGUUGUAAACCGCUUUUGUACGGAACGAAAAGGCUCUGGCUAAUACCUGGGGCUGAUGACGGUACCGUAAGAAUAAGCACCGGCUAACUACGUG
Molecule: ribosomal RNA, 492 nt
Filed under: uncultured bacterium
Lineage: Bacteria
Description: partial 16S ribosomal RNA
Rfam family: Bacterial small subunit ribosomal RNA
Source: RNAcentral